GGGAGCCGAUUCAAAUUUUCUUGAAGAACUUCGGCUAAAAACCCACAAGCCUCUCUUCUAGCAAAAUCAAGUCCACUUAGCUAUGCACAAGCUAAUGGAUCUAGGAAUGAUGCUAGAAACUUAAUUUGAGAAUAGUGGAAGCAAGAAAGAAUCUAAACAAGCUCCGGAAGAUAAACUUUGAAAACCAACAUCUUUGUGUGGAAAAAUCCGAAGGAACCUUCGGAAAAUUCUGAACAUGCGGAAAUUUCCGAAAAAACCUUCGGAAAUUUCUGGAGGUUCGGAGAUUUCC
Molecule: long non-coding RNA, 289 nt
Filed under: Setaria viridis
Lineage: Eukaryota; Viridiplantae; Streptophyta; Magnoliopsida; Poales; Poaceae
Description: long non-coding RNA (SVIR_LNC003593)
Source: RNAcentral